UACGUAGGGGGCAAGCGUUGUCCGGAUUUAUUGGGCGUAAAGAGCGUGUAGGCGGCCACACAGGGCUGCUGUGAAAACUCGAGGCUCAACCUCGAGCUGUCGGUGGAAACCGUGUGGCUAGAGUCCGGAAGAGGAGAGUGGAAUUCCCGGUGUAGCGGUGAAAUGCGCAGAUAUCGGGAAGAACACCCGCGGCGAAGGCGGCUCUCUGGGACGGUACUGACGCUGAGACGCGAAAGCGUGGGGAGCGAACAGG
RNAcentral lists this ribosomal RNA (253 nucleotides) under uncultured bacterium. RNAcentral describes it as "partial 16S ribosomal RNA". It matches the Rfam family "Bacterial small subunit ribosomal RNA", at positions 524 to 776 of the family's 1533-position model. The record is from RNAcentral.